This 463-nucleotide ribosomal RNA is filed under the name uncultured Cryptanaerobacter sp. RNAcentral's name for it is "bacterial SSU rRNA". It matches the Rfam family "Bacterial small subunit ribosomal RNA", at positions 920 to 1378 of the family's 1533-position model. The record is from RNAcentral. Lineage: Bacteria; Bacillati; Bacillota; Clostridia; Eubacteriales; Desulfotomaculaceae.
ACCCCGCACAAGCGGUGGAUCAUGUUGUUUAAUUCGAUGAUACGCGAAGAACCUUUACCAGGUCUUGACAUCCCAUGCAAAGCUAUAGAGAUAUAGUGGAGGUUACCAUGGAGACAGGUGGUGCAUGGUUGUCGUCAGCUCGUGUCGUGAGAUGUUGGGUUAAGUCCCGCAACGAGCGCAACCCCUACGUUUAGUUGCUAACGUGUAACGAUGAGCACUCUAGGCGGACUGCCGUUGACAAAACGGAGGAAGGUGGGAUGACGUCAAAUCAUCAUGCCCCUUAUGUUCUGGGCUACACACGUGCUACAAUGGCCGGUACAAAGGGACGCAAAGCCGCGAGGUGGAGCAAAUCCGAUAAAAGCCGGUCUCAGUUCGGAUUGCAGGCUGCAAUUCGCCUGCAUGAAGUCGGAAUCGCUAGUAAUCGCAGGUCAGCAUACUGCGGUCGAAUACGUUCCCGGGCCUU